This 166-nucleotide small RNA is filed under the name chicken gut metagenome. RNAcentral describes it as "Clostridiales-1 RNA". It matches the Rfam family "Clostridiales-1 RNA". The record is from RNAcentral.
GAUGCCAGGGUCAAAAGGCCUAAACCCACAUGAGCUUGCUCAUAAGUGGGAUUAAGGCCUUGGGACCCGCCCUAAUAUGAGCAUAAAAGUGGGAUGCAUAUCCCACGAUAUGCGAAUAUUGGGUAGGAUUGUGGGAGUGCGCAGCACGGAACAAUCCGCAGGCAUC